Molecule: small nucleolar RNA, 69 nt
Organism: Amphilophus citrinellus (Midas cichlid)
Lineage: Eukaryota; Metazoa; Chordata; Actinopteri; Cichliformes; Cichlidae
Source: Ensembl
CCUGGCUGUGAUGACACACUUGCCCUCACUGAUCUAGUCUUGAUUGAGACUUGUACUUCCUGAGCCAUA